GGGAAAGCCCAAUCGGACUUGGAGAUAGCUGGUUUUCUACGAAAACUAUGUAAGUAGUGCGUUCACAUAGGGCAUU
This 76-nucleotide transfer RNA is filed under the name Porites lutea. RNAcentral's name for it is "tRNA-Tyr". RNAcentral also lists the same sequence under 2 other names. The record is from RNAcentral. Lineage: Eukaryota; Metazoa; Cnidaria; Anthozoa; Scleractinia; Poritidae.